Molecule: ribosomal RNA, 449 nt
Filed under: uncultured bacterium
Lineage: Bacteria
Description: bacterial SSU rRNA
Rfam family: Bacterial small subunit ribosomal RNA
Source: RNAcentral
ACUCCUACGGGAGGCAGCAGUGAGGAAUCUUCCACAAUGGACGAAAGUCUGAUGGAGCGACACCGCGUGAAGGAUGAAGGCCUAACGGUUGUAAACUUCUUUUCUGAAGGAGCAUAAUGAGAGUACUUCAGGAAUAAGGGACGGCUAAAUACGUGCCAGCAGCCGCGGUAAUACGUAUGUCUCGAGCGUUACCCGGAAUCACUGGGUGUAAAGGGGUUCGUAGGCGGUUUAAUAAGUUGGAUAUGAAAGACCGGAGCUCAACUUUGUGUUUGUGUUCAAAACUGUUAAACUAGAAUCAGGGAGAGGUAAGUAGAAUUCUAAGUGUAGGGGUGCAAUCCGUAGAUACUUAGAGGAAUACCAAAAGCGAAGGCAACUUACUGGAACUGUAUUGACGCUGAGGAACGAAAGCGUGGGUAGCGAAAAGGAUUAGAUACCCUGGUAGCACAGAG